Molecule: ribosomal RNA, 251 nt
Filed under: uncultured bacterium
Lineage: Bacteria
Description: partial 16S ribosomal RNA
Rfam family: Bacterial small subunit ribosomal RNA
Source: RNAcentral
UACGGAGGAUGCGAGCGUUAUCCGGAUUCAUUGGGUUUAAAGGGUGCGCAGGCGGGCCUUUAAGCCGGCGGUGAAAUCGCGGGGCUCAACCCCGCCGAGCCGUCGGAACUGGGGGCCUUGAGUGCGGCGGAGGCAUGCGGAAUGCGCGGUGUAGCGGUGAAAUGCAUAGAUAUCGCGCAGAACCCCGAUUGCGAAGGCAGCGUGCCGUGCCGCCACUGACGCUGAGGCACGAAAGCGCGGGGAUCGAACAG